CCAUUAUCCAUCCAUCCAUCCAUUAUCCAUCAUCUGUUCAUUAUCCAUCCAUCCAUUAUCCAUCCAUCCAUCCAUUAUCCAUCAUCUGUUCAUUAUCCAUCCAUCCAUCCAUUAUCCAUCCAUCUAUACAUUAUCCAUCCAUCUAUCCAUUAUCCAUCCAUCCAUCCAUUAUCCAUCCAUCCAUCCAUUAUCCAUCCAUCUAUCCAUUAUCCAUCCACCCACCCAUUACCCAUCCAAUUAUCCAUCCAUUCCAGAAGCAUUUGCCGAUCGAGCACAUCCAUCCAUCCACCCACCCAUUCAUUAUCCAUCCAUCCAUCAUCCAUCCAUCCAUCCAUCAUCCAUCCAUCUAUCCAUUAUCCAUCCAUCCAUUAUCCAUCCAUCCGUUAUCCAUUCACCCAUCCAUCCAUCCAUCCAUCCCAGAAGCCAUUUGCCAAGCACAUGCUGGGUGCCAAGCCCAAGCAGGCGGGCAUCCUCCUGGCUCUGAGAGGAGCUUGAGCAGAGCCCACAGACAGUACCACCCUGCUGGCGGGUCACCAAGCCACCAAGCCAGUGCAGGCUGAGGGCUGAGCACACAGAGCACCGUCUCAGUGUCUGGACAUGGUUAGCCGUCCCCACCCGCGUGGAAGGAAACUUUUUCUCUCCCCUAAGACAGGCUUUGCAGACUUGGAAAGGGAACGCCGUGUUCCAGGGCUCAGACCUGGAGCCCCGGCCAGAGCAGAUGCGAGCCAGCCUCAUCUGGAAAUAGCAGCUCUGGUCCCGGCCUCGCUGAGGCACUGAAAACCAGCACCAGGGCCCCGUCCAGCUCGGCCUCACUGAGGCUGGGAAACAAACACAGGUCUGUAAGGCGCAGCUCCCCAAGCAAACUCCCCACCCCUGCCCAGCACCCACAGCGCUCCCGGCCUCUGUCCUCUAUUCCAGGACCCCUGUAGCGAGCCUGGCUUGGUCCUGGGUCCUCAGGGGACACUGUCCACCCCCGCUGCCCUGGCAGAGCCUCAGGAAUGUGCUUGGUCUCCACAGCCCUCCCCACAGCAAUGUCCCAAGGUUAGACCUACCCAUGCCUCAGUGACUUCUGAGGCGCCUGUCCCGCCGCCCAGCAGCCACUCCAGCCUCCAGAGCUGGCCCCAACCUCCAGCCCCAGGCUGAGCUGCCCUCCCCAGAGGUCAGGAAAAGCCUCAGGCAGGGCUCACAGCUGCACCCAGGAGUCACCCAGGGUGACCCCGCUCUCCGGGGCGGGUCACUCCUGCCCACCCACAGCCAAGGACUGUCACUUUCUCAGUACACAAGGGAGAGAAAGGAAAAACAAGAGCGAGAAAGACACAAGGAGAGAAAAGGAAGGGAGAAGCAAAGAAAAAAGAAAGACACAGGGAAAGAAGAGGAAGGAAAAGAAGGGAGGAAAGGGAGGAAGGAGGGAGAGCGGGAGGAGAGGGAAA
Molecule: long non-coding RNA, 1430 nt
Organism: Pan troglodytes (chimpanzee)
Lineage: Eukaryota; Metazoa; Chordata; Mammalia; Primates; Hominidae
Source: Ensembl